GCACUGCUUAGGAGUCCCACAAUAGGACAAAACGGCCGUCCAGUGC
RNAcentral lists this non-coding RNA (46 nucleotides) under Schistosoma curassoni. Lineage: Eukaryota; Metazoa; Platyhelminthes; Trematoda; Strigeidida; Schistosomatidae. The record is from RNAcentral.